RNAcentral lists this ribosomal RNA (253 nucleotides) under uncultured bacterium. RNAcentral describes it as "partial 16S ribosomal RNA". It matches the Rfam family "Bacterial small subunit ribosomal RNA", at positions 524 to 776 of the family's 1533-position model. The record is from RNAcentral.
UACAGAGGUCUCAAGCGUUGUUCGGAUUCAUUGGGCGUAAAGGGUGCGUAGGCGGCGCGGUAAGUCGGGUGUGGAAUCUCGGAGCUUAACUCCGAAACUGCAUUCGAUACUGCCGUGCUUGAGGACUGGAGAGGAGACUGGAAUUUACGGUGUAGCGGUGAAAUGCGUAGAUAUCGUAAGGAAGACCAGUGGCGAAGGCGGGUCUCUGGACAGUUCCUGACGCUGAGGCACGAAGGUCAGGGGAGCAAACGGG